CAAGUCGAACGGUACAGGAUGUGCUUGCACAUCGCUGACGAGUGGCGGACGGGUGAGUAAUGCUUGGGAACUUGCCUUUGCGAGGGGGAUAACAGUUGGAAACGACUGCUAAUACCGCAUAAUGUCUUCGGACCAAACGGGGCUUCGGCUCCGGCGCAAAGAGAGGCCCAAGUGAGAUUAGCUAGUUGGUAAGGUAACGGCUUACCAAGGCGACGAUCUCUAGCUGUUCUGAGAGGAAGAUCAGCCACACUGGGACUGAGACACGGCCCAGACUCCUACGGGAGGCAGCAGUGGGGAAUAUUGCACAAUGGGGGAAACCCUGAUGCAGCCAUGCCGCGUGUGUGAAGAAGGCCUUCGGGUUGUAAAGCACUUUCAGUUGUGAGGAAAAGUUAGUAGUUAAUAACUGCUAGCCGUGACGUUAACAACAGAAGAAGCACCGGCUAACUCCGUGCCAGCAGCCGCGGUAAUACGGAGGGUGCGAGCGUUAAUCGGAAUUACUGGGCGUAAAGCGCACGCAGGCGGUUUGUUAAGCUAGAUGUGAAAGCCCCGGGCUCAACCUGGGAUGGUCAUUUAGAACUGGCAGACUAGAGUCUUGGAGAGGGGAGUGGAAUUCCAGGUGUAGCGGUGAAAUGCGUAGAUAUCUGG
RNAcentral lists this ribosomal RNA (645 nucleotides) under uncultured bacterium. RNAcentral's name for it is "bacterial SSU rRNA". It matches the Rfam family "Bacterial small subunit ribosomal RNA", at positions 58 to 701 of the family's 1533-position model. The record is from RNAcentral.